Molecule: non-coding RNA, 23 nt
Filed under: Arabidopsis thaliana (thale cress)
Lineage: Eukaryota; Viridiplantae; Streptophyta; Magnoliopsida; Brassicales; Brassicaceae
Source: RNAcentral
CCGAGAGCUGAUUACGGAUGUGU